RNAcentral lists this ribosomal RNA (253 nucleotides) under uncultured bacterium. Its description in RNAcentral is "partial 16S ribosomal RNA". It matches the Rfam family "Bacterial small subunit ribosomal RNA", at positions 524 to 776 of the family's 1533-position model. The record is from RNAcentral.
UACGUAGGGGGCAAGCGUUGUCCGGAAUCAUUGGGCGUAAAGAGCGCGUAGGCGGUCCGAUAAGUCGGCUGUGAAAGUCAGGGGCUCAACCCUUGGAAGCCGGCCGAUACUGUCGGACUAGAGUCCGGAAGAGGCGAGUGGAAUUCCCGGUGUAGCGGUGAAAUGCGCAGAUAUCGGGAGGAACACCAAUGGCGAAGGCAGCACUCUGGGACGUGACUGACGCUGAGACGCGAAAGCGUGGGGAGCAAACAGG